CGUGUAAGAACGUUGACACUUAAAACUAUCCUUAAUUUGUUUAUAUCUUUUUAAAGCACUUAUAAUGCUUGAGUUAUCAGGUUAGUCACAUAAAACAAUACACACUAGCACUUUCAGGCAUACCUAGACUUGAUUGCCAGUUGCUCUACUCUAGGUGUUCGUUUAAUACUUAUACCUUGUCUUCAAACUUUAACCGUGGAAUUUAUAUGGCUCAUGCUCAAUCUUGAUGACACAAUUAGAGCACAGACUCCAUGCCCAUCAAGUUGCAUUUGUGAUCAGCCAACACACUGGAAAACUGAGAAACUUGUGCUCGAUCGCCUCCAAGAAGUAGAAAUUAGUGAACUAUCAUGAUUUUGUGCAACGGUUAUUCAGUUGGGCAACAGCCUUAAAAAAGUUGACAAUAUCUUUUCAUCACUUGAUCACGAAAUCUAGGCCAAGGGGUUGUGCCAGAUGUUACGAAGCUUGUCCACAUUGGAACUAGGUAUCGAAUUUUAUGUGCACCGCUGCUUGGUGGGGAAAGUUUUG
This is a non-coding RNA of Triticum urartu, 525 nucleotides long. NCBI's taxonomy places the organism in Eukaryota, Viridiplantae, Streptophyta, Magnoliopsida, Poales, Poaceae. The record is from RefSeq and is a predicted model, not a curated record.